AUAUGAUCACUAAAAAUAAAUUAGUUCCCUCUUGUGCAUAUAUAACUUUAAUUUUUUUAAAUAUAUUUUGUGGAGUUCCCGUCAUGGUUCAGUGUUUAACAAACCCAACUAGGACCCAUGAGGAGUGUGUUCAAACCCUGGCCUAGCUCAGUGGGUUAAAGAUCCUACAUUGCCUUGAGCUGUGGUGUAAGUUGUAGACAUGGCUUGGAUCUGGAGUUGCUCUGACUGUGGUGUAGCUAGCAGCUGCAGCUCUGAUUCCACCCCUAGCAUGGGAACUUCCACAUGCUGCAGCCCUAAAAAAAAACACUAAACAAAUAAAAAAUAAAAUAUAUUUUAUUACUUAGGGUUUGGGGGCUUAUAAAUGUUAGUAUUUAUGAACACAGGUUAAGGUAUUAACAUGCAAUAUUAUUGCAAAAGUUGAGGCAUUCUGGGUUGUGAAAACAAAGGCUUUAAAUCCCCCACUCUGCACCUGAGCAUGGUUGGCAUUUCUGUGGGGAAGCUCAGUGUUCACUUCUGAGUGAAUUGUGACCACAGAACAGCAGAGCUCAGGCAGAGCCUCUUUUCAUUUGGUUACUUUUCAACUAUUUAUUGCGUGACUGCUAUGUCCCACAUACUGUUCCAGGGUCUGUGAGUAGAAAGAAACAAGAUCCCAUUUUCAUAGAGUCUGUACUCUCUUGGGGAGAGAUCCACUGAACAAAUGAAUUUUAAAACUAUUAAGAGCUCAUUGAAUGUUCCAAAGGACAGGACAGUAUGAGAGUGUAACUAGUAGAGUAGCCAUGUCCAGAAAGAAAAGCUAUUGUGGGAGGAAACCUCCACCCUCUUAGAUUUCCUGACUGGGUAUGCAAAUUAAGCUGACAGAGUCACAAGAGAAAAGCAUACACAUUUAUCUCACAUAAAUUGUUGUGACAUAGGACCCUUCUGAAGUAAACAGAGACCAGAAGAAACAUACCUGAUAUUUUAUGCUUUUUCAUGAGGAGCAGGCAUGGGAGGAGCAAAACAGGUAAGAGAAUAUGGGCUCAGUGUAGUAACCUGAGAAGCGACAGACCUGUCUCAUAGGAUUCUUCUUCAUGCCCCUUUGUCUUAGAAGCUAAGGAUGCUCCUUUCUUGCAGAUGUAGGGAGGGCACAGCUCAGAUGAGGGUUUUAUAACCGGCUUUGUGGGAGAUGAGAAGAGGGAAAGUUACAGUGACUUUCCAUUUUGUGUUGUUUUCUCAAAUCCUUCAGCUUAGAAUACUCAACAUACUAGCUACCAUAUUUUGGGGAACUGUGUUCUGCACCCCAUCACUAUCUGUGUGAAGAUCUGAGCAAGAUGGAGUUUCCGUUGUGGCGCAAUGGAAAGGAAUCUGACCAGGAACCAUGGGGUUGCAGCUUUGAUCCCUAGCCUCACUCAGUGGGUUAAGGAUCAGACGUUGCCAUGAGCUGUGGUGUAAGUCGAAGACACGGCUCAGAUCCCAAGUUACUGUGGCUCUGACCUAGGCCGGCGGCUACAUCUCCGAUUCAACCCCCUAGCCUGGGAACAUCCACAUGCUACAGGUGAAGGUGGGGAGGGUGGGCAGGGGUUUUGGGGGAGAGGGGUUAGGAUAGAUGGGCCCCAGGAACAGGAUAUGGAAGGAGCUGCUUCCACACCAGAUCUUCUUCUGAGGGAAAUCUACCAAAUACCUCUCACCUCUUAUGACUUUGCUUCUGAAACUCAAUGUGGCCUUUGCUCAAGGGAGCCUCUUAUGCAGAAUCAUAUUCCAGGAGGUACUUUUGGCCACUGAUAAAGGAAAUUCUCCCAUAGAGGUGUGGAGACGUCAUUCUGGCUUAUGCAUGAGUUAACUUGAAUUUCCACUGACUAGAACAGCCUGUUUGUAACCUAUCACACAUACAUUGCACCUCUGCUUUAACGAUUUUUUAAAGAUUUUUAUUUCUUUAAUUAUAGUUGAUUUACAAUGUUCUGUCAAUUCCUGCUGUAUAGCAAAGUGACCCAGCCAUAUAUAAAAUAUAUAUAAUACAUACACACACACACACACACUUUUUUUUUUUUUUUUUUUGCAAGCAAGCAAAAUCUUUAUUACAGGAAAGAAAACAGCUCCCAAAACAGCUGGGAGGAGGGAGAAGAGCCCCCUUCUUUAUUGUCUUAUAGGGGUUUUUAUCCCUUAGAGAUGGGGGUACCAACGUGGGGUCCAGAAAGAUAUGGUUUUCUCCCAUUGGCCUUGCCCAAAUACUUAAAAGGGGUCCCUGUCCAAAAGGGGUCUCAGGGACAGGAAUGUCCCAUAAGUCUCAUGGUUUCUUUGUCCUUUUCUUCUCAUAAACUGAAUCACAGGGAGAUAGGGAUUAAUGUCCAUCUGGGCAUAGGUGCACUCCCUGUAGUAAACAAGGCCUGUGGGGAUGUUACUCCCUGGAGCCCUUAAGCCACAAAUGUUUAUCAACAGCCAUAUCGAAUGCAUCAAAGCCUAUGCUCCUACACUAACUACCUGAGUUAUUAUUCUGCCUCAAUCCCUUCUUCUAGAGUUGGAGACUCUAACUUCAGGGGGAAAGGGAGCUACCACCACUCUGACUGCUUCCUGCUGUACAGAGACAUUGUUAGGGGAAAGAAGUUA
This 2580-nucleotide long non-coding RNA is filed under the name Sus scrofa (pig). RNAcentral's name for it is "lncRNA (ENSSSCG00030019604.1)". Lineage: Eukaryota; Metazoa; Chordata; Mammalia; Artiodactyla; Suidae. The record is from RNAcentral.